GGCGGAAUGGCCGAGCGGUCUAAGGCGCUAGAAUCAGGAUCUAGUCCGAAAGGGCGUGGGUUCGAAUCCCACUUCCGUCA
RNAcentral lists this transfer RNA (80 nucleotides) under Fibroporia radiculosa. Its description in RNAcentral is "tRNA-Leu (CAG) (tRNA-Leu-CAG-1-1, tRNA-Leu-CAG-1-2)". It matches the Rfam family "tRNA". Rfam says of the family: Transfer RNA (tRNA) molecules are approximately 80 nucleotides in length. Their secondary structure includes four short double-helical elements and three loops (D, anti-codon, and T loops). The record is from RNAcentral. Lineage: Eukaryota; Fungi; Basidiomycota; Agaricomycetes; Polyporales; Fibroporiaceae.